RNAcentral lists this ribosomal RNA (283 nucleotides) under uncultured bacterium. RNAcentral's name for it is "partial 16S ribosomal RNA". It matches the Rfam family "Bacterial small subunit ribosomal RNA", at positions 30 to 313 of the family's 1533-position model. The record is from RNAcentral.
AUUGAACGCUGGCGGCAUGCUUUACACAUGCAAGUCGAACGGCAGCACGGGGGCAACCCUGGUGGCGAGUGGCGAACGGGUGAGUAAUGCAUCGGAACGUAUCUUCAAGUGGGGGAUAACGCAUCGAAAGAUGCGCUAAUACCGCAUAAUCUCUGAGGAGAAAAGCAGGGGAUCGCAAGACCUUGCGCUUCUGGAGCGGCCGAUGUCNGAUUAGCUAGUUGGUGGGGUAAAGGCUUACCAAGGCUUCGAUCAGUAGCUGGUCUGAGAGGACGACCAGCCACAC